This 482-nucleotide ribosomal RNA is filed under the name uncultured bacterium. RNAcentral describes it as "partial 16S ribosomal RNA". It matches the Rfam family "Bacterial small subunit ribosomal RNA", at positions 28 to 507 of the family's 1533-position model. The record is from RNAcentral.
GACGAACGCUGGCGGCGUGCUUAACACAUGCAAGUCGAACGCUGAAGCUCAGCUUGCUGGGUGGAUGAGUGGCGAACGGGUGAGUAACACGUGAGUAACCUGCCCUCUUCUUUGGGAUAACGCCCGGAAACGGGUGCUAAUACUGGAUAUUCACUGAUUCUCGCAUGGGGGUUGGUGGAAAGGUUUUUUCUGGUGGGGGAUGGGCUCGCGGCCUAUCAGCUUGUUGGUGGGGUGAUGGCCUACCAAGGCUUUGACGGGUAGCCGGCCUGAGAGGGUGACCGGUCACAUUGGGACUGGGAUACGGCCCAGACUCCUACGGGAGGCCGCAGUGGGGAAUAUUGCACAAUGGGCGAAAGCCUGAUGCAGCGACGCCGCGUGAGGGAUGGAGGCCUUCGGGUUGUAAACCUCUUUCGCUCAUGGUCAAGCCGCAGCUUUGGGUUGUGGUGAGGGUAGUGGGUAAAGAAGCGCCGGCUAACUACGUG